UCGCCAUGAAACCGCUAGAAAUCCGGAACGACCCAAAAAUGUAGCACACCGUUUACAGCGCUAACCGUCAGUUAGCUAACGUCGUAACGUCAGCGACAGACAGAAACUGUGUAUUUUAGUUGUUUUUUUUAUCUUAUGAGUUUGAUAUAUACCGACCUUAUUGGGGUGGACAGAGAAGUGUUGCUCUGGUGGUUUAUGGAAAAUGCAAAACCAGCCGGACCCCCUUUGCAACCCAUGGAUGCAUGACUGCAACUGAAAUGUAGUUUGCAAAGAUAAGAGCUAGUAUGGAGGAAAGGAGAAGAGGUGCAGACGUUGGUACCUGGAGGUGGCUGAGCGCGGUCCACACUGCAGGAAGUAGGGAGACGAAACUGAAUCCCUGCAAGGAGCAAGCAUCACCAGUUAGAGGAGGAGAGAUACAGCCGCUGAGAAAACGUUUGCAGCCUUCUUGGAAACACCUGGGCAGAGAUGUUGGUGGAAGAAUAGGACUGUGAUGCUCCCCCUGUUGUUUGUGCUUUGGGGACUAACACAAAACCAGAUUCUGUGGUUACCCUGUGCAGAUGAAGAAAAGAGAUCCACGAUCGGAAAUUCAAGCCUGAUGGGUGAGAAACACCACAGCUAUGACAGUCAACCUUCAUGAAUAAAACAAGGUAGAAGAUACA
Molecule: long non-coding RNA, 659 nt
Organism: Seriola aureovittata
Lineage: Eukaryota; Metazoa; Chordata; Actinopteri; Carangiformes; Carangidae
Exons: 4
Source: RefSeq, a predicted model, not a curated record